RNAcentral lists this transfer RNA (73 nucleotides) under Capra hircus (goat). It matches the Rfam family "tRNA". Rfam says of the family: Transfer RNA (tRNA) molecules are approximately 80 nucleotides in length. Their secondary structure includes four short double-helical elements and three loops (D, anti-codon, and T loops). RNAcentral also lists the same sequence under 1 other name. Lineage: Eukaryota; Metazoa; Chordata; Mammalia; Artiodactyla; Bovidae. The record is from Rfam by way of RNAcentral.
UCCCCGGUGGUCCAGUGGUUAAGACUCCAUGCUCUCUAUGCAGGGGGCACAGGUUAGAUCCCUGACUGGGGAA